AUAUGUUUAGAUAUUGUGCUCGCUUCAGCAGCACAUGUACUAAAAUUGGAAGGAUACAGAGAAGAUUAGCAUGGCCCCUGCAUGAGAGUGACAUGCAAAUUCGUGAAGCAUUCCAUACUUUUGGAAAAAAAAAUACCAUACUAAGUGAAGUGAGCCAGACCCAAAG
Long non-coding RNA from Perognathus longimembris pacificus (Pacific pocket mouse), 166 nucleotides. RefSeq lists it as uncharacterized. The record is from RefSeq and is a predicted model, not a curated record. The transcript is spliced from 3 exons. NCBI's taxonomy places the organism in Eukaryota, Metazoa, Chordata, Mammalia, Rodentia, Heteromyidae.